This 1755-nucleotide long non-coding RNA is filed under the name Brassica napus (rape). RNAcentral describes it as "long non-coding RNA (BNAP_LNC008267)". Lineage: Eukaryota; Viridiplantae; Streptophyta; Magnoliopsida; Brassicales; Brassicaceae. The record is from RNAcentral.
AAAUUCAAGUUCUUUCUCUCCUCUUUUUAGAAAGAGUAAAAUUAUCUCAUGUUCUCUCAUCUCUAUCUUACACAGGAGAUGAAUUUUCAGAGGCUAGAGACUUUCUUUUGUUGUAAAAUAACUCUUCCAUUUUUAGAUCCAUUUUGUUCUUCUCAUUAGGUGAUUUUCUAUUCACAUUAGGCGAUUUCGUUUUUUUUGUUUGUUUUUGUUGUGUUUUUACUCCAUAUUUUUGAGCAGAAAUAAAUGGUAAAACAAUAAAGAAUUGAUGGAAUGAAAAAAAUUAAAAUGAUAGAAAUGAAAUACAGCAAAAAAUGGAAUGGAAUUCAUUUCAUUCAUUCAUAACCAAAAUUGUUUUGGGAUCAUUUCUCUUUGUAUUUAUUUUUUUUUUCUUUGUGGAAUUGAUUCCAUUUAUGUCAAAUGGUGAAUUUUCUUUUGGAAUUAAUGGAAUAAGGCAUUCCAGAUCAUUCCAUUCUAAAAAUUGACAAUCCAGUUGCUUGAUCUUAAAUAUGAGUUGAUUUAAACAAAAGUAUCCGAAUUUUAAUCGGAGAUCAGAGCUCUUCCCCUUAUGUUUCAAUUGAACAGAUUUCGCUUGAUCUUAAGAAUUUUUUUUUGGGUUUGUUAAAAAGAUUGGAUCUUGGUUAUUAAGAAUCAAUCUUCGCUUUAGCUACGUGGAGUGUCAGUAAAGAUCAAGUCUCUGCGUUUUGGAUUAUGCUUAGGUGAUUUGGAGAGGAGUCAGAAGAACUGGAGCUUCCUAUCGGCAUCGUUCUAACAAGGCUUUAUCUCGUUCACUCUAUAGCUAUUCCUUGAUCUUAACUCUAGCGACCGGAGGAGAUGUUCUAUCUGAUCGGCGGCGAGUGAAGGUUGGAGAGCAUGCAAGUAGAUUCAGGCGAAUCGACGUUGGAGAUUGACGGUUCAUUUGUAUAGCUUACCGGCGACCCUUCCUCUCACCUCGGUUAUGGAAACAACAAAGCCAAGCCACGGAGGCGGACACGUGGAUCACAUGCAUUCAUCAUUAUAUAUUUUUCAGUCUUCGUUUGGGCUUAAUUUGUUUUGCAUUUUAGCUUGAUCUGCUUAUAAAACAAUAUGCCUAUUGGGAUUUAAUACAAUAAGUUGACAACAAAUAAUAAUGGGAAAAUAGGCUUUAAAAUUUGUAAAAAAAUUAUGGGCUCUGCGUUUUAUGGGUAAUGCCCUCAUUACUGGCUAUGCACAAGAGAGUAGUAAGAAGGAAGAAAACUCAGAGCACCUUCAAUCAUCGAUUCUAAAUAGAACAUCUAAUCAUUUAAAUUAAUUAAUAAAAUAAUAAAAAAAUGAGAGAGAAGAAAGCAUGGCUCUAAUCUUAAAACUUUUUAGAACUUAAGAGCACAUCCAACAAUGAAAACUCCAAAGAGCUUCCAAAACAAAAAAAAACAUAUUAAUAUUUUAAUAAAUUAUAAUUAGAUAAUUAAAAGUUAUUUGUAAAACAAAAAUUCAACCAAUCUAUUGUUUACAAGUGUCAUAUCAAAUUUUAAUGGGGUUCUAAAAAAUCUAAACAUUAGAGCAGCAUUAACGCAGUAGCUUAGGAGGAGUGCUUAAUAAUUUUCGGACUAAAAAAAAAAAUAUAUUAAGCGAAGCGACGGUGCUUAAUUAAGCUGCACAAGAAACAUAUCUAAUGAGACACCUGUCAUUAGACGCGUCUUUCUCUCGCUCGACGAGUCAGUUUCUCUCUUUCUCUCCCUCGGCAACUCCGCUUCUUUCCUUCUCUCCCUCGGCGACUCA